AUCUAGCUGAUGAGUUUCAAAUUGGAUGAAACGCAUGUUCUAGAU
This is a non-coding RNA of Schistosoma margrebowiei, 45 nucleotides long. The record is from Rfam. Lineage: Eukaryota; Metazoa; Platyhelminthes; Trematoda; Strigeidida; Schistosomatidae.